CAGCAGCCGCGGUAAUACGGAAGGUCCGGGCGUUAUCCGGAUUUAUUGGGUUUAAAGGGAGCGUAGGCCGGAGAUUAAGCGUGUUGUGAAAUGUAGAUGCUCAACAUCUGAACUGCAGCGCGAACUGGUUUCCUUGAGUACGCACAAAGUGGGCGGAAUUCGUGGUGUAGCGGUGAAAUGCUUAGAUAUCACGAAGAACUCCGAUUGCGAAGGCAGCCUGCUAAGCUGCAACUGACAUUGAGGCUCGAAAGUGUGGGUAUCAAACAGGAUUAGAUACCCUGGUAGUCCACACGGUAAACGAUGAAUACUCGCUGUUCGCGAUAUACAGCAAGCGGCCAAGCGAAAGCGUUAAGUAUUCCACCUGGGGAGU
This 370-nucleotide ribosomal RNA is filed under the name uncultured bacterium. RNAcentral describes it as "bacterial SSU rRNA". It matches the Rfam family "Bacterial small subunit ribosomal RNA", at positions 509 to 881 of the family's 1533-position model. The record is from RNAcentral.